This 461-nucleotide ribosomal RNA is filed under the name uncultured bacterium. Its description in RNAcentral is "bacterial SSU rRNA". It matches the Rfam family "Bacterial small subunit ribosomal RNA", at positions 56 to 513 of the family's 1533-position model. The record is from RNAcentral.
UGCAGUCGAACGGCAGCACGGGGGCAACCCUGGUGGCGAGUGGCGAACGGGUGAGUAACAUAUCGGAACGUGCCCUGGAGUGGGGGAUAACUAGUCGAAAGACUAGCUAAUACCGCAUACGAUCUACGGAUGAAAGUGGGGGAUCGCAAGACCUCAUGCUCGUGGAGCGGCCGAUAUCUGAUUAGCUAGUUGGUGGGGUAAAGGCCUACCAAGGCAUCGAUCAGUAGCUGGUCUGAGAGGACGACCAGCCACACUGGGACUGAGACACGGCCCAGACUCCUACGGGAGGCAGCAGUGGGGAAUUUUGGACAAUGGGCGCAAGCCUGAUCCAGCAAUGCCGCGUGAGUGAAGAAGGCCUUCGGGUUGUAAAGCUCUUUUGUCAGGGAAGAAACGGUGGGGGCUAAUACCUUCUGCUAAUGACGGUACCUGAAGAAUAAGCACCGGCUAACUACGUGCCAGCA